AAACCCUCAAAGUAAAUCUUUUGUUCAUUCGAUUGAUUUUAUUUUGGACUUGGAGGUCUUGCAGAAUCCAUGUCUGCUCCUCUCAAAAGCAUUAGCUGGAUCCUCUGUCAGCUUGGUUCCACUCAGUGUGAUAAGUAUCACUCGCUGAGGACACUGUAAACAGUGGCUGGGAUUGCAGAUGAACCGCUUCUAAUCAUCUACUAGUUUAUUAGACAUCACG
This 220-nucleotide unclassified non-coding RNA is filed under the name uncultured Cantharellales. RNAcentral describes it as "sequence contains ITS2". The record is from RNAcentral. Lineage: Eukaryota; Fungi; Basidiomycota; Agaricomycetes; Cantharellales.